This 38-nucleotide non-coding RNA is filed under the name Schistosoma curassoni. Lineage: Eukaryota; Metazoa; Platyhelminthes; Trematoda; Strigeidida; Schistosomatidae. The record is from RNAcentral.
AUCCAGCUGACGAGUCCCAAACAGGACGAAACGAAGAU